This 624-nucleotide long non-coding RNA is filed under the name Bos taurus (domestic cattle). RNAcentral's name for it is "long non-coding RNA NONBTAT015556". Lineage: Eukaryota; Metazoa; Chordata; Mammalia; Artiodactyla; Bovidae. The record is from RNAcentral.
CACCAUAUUAGAAUUUAUUAUAAUACAAACAAGUCCAAACACAAUAUAAUAUCUAAUUAAGAAAAUAUGAACAUUUACUAUUUUUUUAUGGUAACAUUUUUUCCCAUUCUUCGAACUGGAAUAACCAACAUUUGAGUCUCUUAUUCAGUUCAGAUAGGCCCCUCAGGUUGGACCAGUGGGCACCAACUGUGCAAAGUAAGUUUCCACUUGCAGAGUGUUUGCAAGAUGGAACUUCGUGCCUUCUCAUGGUCUGUCUUUUACGGUUUCUUUGUCAUCCUCCUUAUUUCCUUCCCAUUAGGCAGCUCAGUCCUUGAGUUGUUCAGUAGAAAGACACAGUGUGUACAUGUGUAGCAUCACUGCAUGUCCAACCAAGGACACAGAUCAUACAGGAGGGACGCUAGUUAACAGUCUUUGAAAGGGGCAUCACAAAAACCUGAUAUAAGGCAAUUGCUUAUGUGCCAUCAACAGCAGCUGUUUAUGUGACAGGCUUCAAAACUCAAAGCUAUAUUUCCAAAACUGGCCUCAAAGAAAAGGCUUAAAAGUUUGUUUUCUCUUUAAAAAGCUUUUAAAUUUUGUCCACAAUUAUUACUAUAAAUAAGAAUAAAUUAAAAGUCCUUAUAUUAU